AACCACAGCACACCUGAUCAUUUCUUAGUUCCUAACCCUGGCUGCAAAUAACCGCUGUUUGUUUCCGUUAAGUUCUGGUCUUUCAUUUCUGUUCUUCCACUUCCUUUUCCUUCCUCCCAAUUUCAGUUCUCACAGGAACGCGAUCAAACAAAAAUGAUGGGAAAUUGAAACAGUAACAGAGCAAAAAACAAUCUAAAAAACUUUUUUUUUUUUUUAAAUUAAUCAACAAUAUAAUGUUCAUGAUAAUGAUUAUUUCUACCAACAUAAAACAGAUACAGUUAUUUGGGGCUUUUGUGCUUAAAGGUGAUUAUGUGCAAAUAAUACAAAGAUCCAUAAGCAAAUAGCUUGAUGAUGGAAUUAUAACUCUUAAAAUGUCUUCCCUACAGUUCACUAUGCAUGCUGACCAGCAGAGGGGGAAAAUUAGACAAAACACUAUUUCAAGCUUAUGAAGCAGCAAUGUGCUGCAGGAAUUCUGGAACAUAUGGAGUUAAAUUUACUCGUAUUGAUAAGAAAAUAGCAUAUAUCCUUAGCAAAAGUAAACUUCCAUUUGAAGAUUUUGGAUUAACAUUAUUGAUUUUGUUCAAGUUAAGAAAGCAAAUAACUUGCUGUUUGGAUAACAUACCAAUGUCAAGAGGAUCAUGAGUCUCUGUAUCAAUCUGAAACUUGACUUCAGCAGAAGCAAGAGUUAGUGCUCCUCUCUCAAUUCUUCUCUGCCUCAUUAUCUUUGCCAAAGCAUUUAUAUUUCUCAAAUCUUUAGUUACUGGAUCCAUCAACCGACUAUCAUCCAUCCUAGCCUGUGCUUCAACAUAAGACAAUGCUGCCCAAGAUUUUAUGACACUUUUUGUGUAUCUUGUAGAAAUUAUCUCUGCUUCAGCGUUCAUUUCCCAAAUAACAGAAAAUGCUAGCCUUUCCACAUCAGCUCGAAGAGAACAUAUAUCUUCUGUUAGUGGUUUUGGAAGCAUGUCAAUACGACGCUCAACAAGGUACACAGAUGUGCCUCUUUGUGUAGCCUCAUCAUCAAGUGGGGUGCCCAGAUGAACGAAGUUUGUUACAUCAGCAAUGUGAACUCCAACUUCAAAAUUUCCAUUUGGAAGCAUUGUACAGUGUAGUGCAUCAUCAAUAUCCUUGCAUCCUGGCGGGUCAACACUAAAGACACGCAAAUGCCGUAGGUCUGUCCUAAUAGGAUUCACCAAAUCUUGUUCAGAAAUUGACCAUGGUAAUGGUGGCAAGCAUGCCAAAACUUGAGCAGAAAAUGGUCUUGCAUCUAUAUCAUUCUCUAUCAAGACAACCUCAGUUUCAGUAUCUCUAUCACCUAUCUCUCCUAUACUUCGUACAUAAUGACCAGAAGGAUAACGUGAUUGACGGUCCCAAGAAUCAACAGCCACAAUAAUUCUUUUGUCCAGAAGAUUUUCAAGCUGCCGGGUUUGAAUUCGAAUCUUAGGAAUUCUUCUAUCUUUGGAGACAAAUAGAGCAUAGACAAGACCACCACUUCCUGCAGGCAUUCGCAUUGGCUCCAGAGAUCCACAAUAGGAAUGCCAAUUACGCUUAAUGAUGCCAACAACACGACCACACGGAUGACCAGAGAUAUGAUUUUUGCCACUAGCAGAACCUCCUGAUACUGGAUUCAUAGUUCUAGGGGCAUCAUCCGCACUGUUUGGAACUAGAUGAACUUCUUCAUCAUCAUUAUCAUCUUCAUCUGCUAUAGACAAAGAUCCAUCUUCACGCCACUGAUCCUGGGGAAGAAUUUCCACUGCCACUAUAUCACCAUCAAAAGCCCUAUUCAUAUUUCCACGACCAUAAAUGACUAUUUCAUCGCCAAUGCUCUCACUGCCAACAUAUGCUUCAAAUGGAUUAUAACGAUUAACGCAAAGUUUUCCCUGAUGAUAUAUUCCGCUGGUCAAACCAGCAGUAAUCUCUGACAUGGGCUUAUGCUCUGAAUAAACAACCUUCCUCUUUGAAGGUCUCAAAUCUUCAACUUCCUCCAUGACUACAUCCUCAGAAGCAGGCUGAGCAAGAAGGUCAAGCAAAGCUGGUUGACCCAAUGAUUUCACGUAAGACUCAAUUGUCUCUGCAGAAACACCCUCUUCAGUAGCCUUCCUCUUAUUUUCCCUAUCAUUAGUGAGAAGUAAAACCUUUGCUGCAUCUCCAAGAUGACUCUGAUACCAUCUGGUAGCAACCCUAAUUGCUCUAUCAUUUCGAUCAUUAGGGCUUUCUCCACUCAUGUUCUGAACAUAUGUAUCCCUAUGGAAUUCAUUGGAGAAAACAAAAAAUUUCCUAGCAGGAUUGCUGCAGAGGGCACGAAUUCUAUUAUAAAUAGCACUAUUCUUGUUCUUCACCUCUUGAAGUACAACUGAUAACACAACCACAUCUUCAAUAGCUGGAUUCUCAAGCAAAUCAAUCUGAUUGAGAACAACAUUAGUGUCAAGAACAAGGAUAGUGGAAGCAGAAGCAGUCAAGCGAGCAGCAGAGGUAUCGCAUACUUUACAAAAUGAAGCUCCACAGUAAAUGUCAUCUCUGAGAUACACUUCUCUUACGUGCUUUUGAAUUUUGCCUCCUCGAGUCUUCUUACUGAAGGUUUUACUGUGUAACAUGUCGAGCAGAAAAGGAUUGGUGCAGCUAUAUAAUUGUCUUCUUCUUCUUCUUCUUCUUAACCGAGCAGUGUGGUUGUUUGUUUAAUUGUUUGUGGAGUCUCAAGUGGGUACAUAUAUCAUGACUUGUAUGAUGCAUCAUUUGGACCUUACUUUCAUAUAAGCUGUGAUUUUGGUGCCCCUGGAUUGCGUGUAUUAUGAAACGCGGAAGACGUUUAUCCAAAUAUUUGAAUUAAGUUAUUUAAAAAUAAUAAAAACAACAACAACAACUCUGAAG
RNAcentral lists this unclassified non-coding RNA (2865 nucleotides) under Hevea brasiliensis (rubber tree). Lineage: Eukaryota; Viridiplantae; Streptophyta; Magnoliopsida; Malpighiales; Euphorbiaceae. The record is from RNAcentral.